CAUGUCCUCCUGACCCUUCUGUUGCUAGGUCAAAUACAUGUCCCCCUGACACUUCUGUUGGACAUACUGUUGCUAGGUUAAAUACAUGUCCCUUUGACCCUUCUGUUGGACAUACUGUUGCUAGGUAAAAUACAUGUCCCCCGGACCCUUCUGUUGCUAGGUCAAAUACAUGUCCCCCUGAUCCUUCUGUUGGACAUACUGUUUCUAGGUCAAAUACCUCUGCCCCGGACCCUUCUGUUGGACAUACUGUUGCUAGGUCAAAUACAUGUCCACCUGACCCUUCUGUUGGACAUACUGUUGCUAGGUGAAAUACAUGUCCCUACGACCCUUCUGUUGGACUUACUGUUGCUAGGUAAAAUACAUGUCCCCCUGACCCUUCUAUUGGACAUACUGUUGCUAGGUCAAAUACAUGUCCCCCGGACCCUUAUGUUGGACAUACUGUUGCUAGGUCAAAUACAUUUCCCCCUGACCCUUCUGUUGGACAUACUGUUGCUAGGUCAAAUACAUGUCCCCCGGACCCUUCUGUUGGACAUACUGUUGCUAGGUCAAAUACAUGUCCCCCUGACCCUUCUGUUGCUAGGUCAAAUACAUGUCCCCCUGACCCUUCUGUUGCUAGGUCAAAUACAUCUCCCCCCGACCCUUCUGUUGCUAGGUCAAAUACAUGUCCUCCUGACCCUUCUGUUGCUAGGUCAAAUACAUGUCCCCCUGACCUUUCUGUUGGACAUACUGUUGCUAGGUUAAAUACAUGUCCCCUUGACCCUUCUGUUGGACAUACUGUUGCUAGGUAAAAUACAUGUCCCCCGGACCCUUCUGUUGCUAGGUCAAAUACAUGUCCCCCUGAUCCUUCUGUUGGACAUACUGUUGCUAGGUGAAAUACAUGUCCAUACGACCCUUCUGUUGGACUUACUGUUGCUAGGUCAAAUACAUGUCCCCCUGAUUCUUCUGUUGCUAGGUCAAAUACAUGUCCCCUUGACCCUUCUAUUGGACUUACUCUUGCUAGGUCAAAUAAAUGUCCCCCUGACCCUUCUGUUGCUAGGUCAAAUACAUGUCCCCCGCACCCUUCUGUUGGACAUACUGUUGCUAGGUAAAAUACAUGUCCCAAUGACCCUUCUGUUGCUAGGUCAAAUACAUGUCCCCCGACCCUUCUGUUGCUAGGUCAAAUACAUAUCCCCCUGACCCUUCUGUUGCUAGGUCAAAUACAUGUCCCCCUGAUUCUUCUGUUGCUAGGUCAAAUACAUGUCCCCCGACCCUUCUGUUGCUAGGUCAAAUACAUAUCCCCCUGACCCUUCUGUUGCUAGGUCAAAUACAUGUCCC
This 1314-nucleotide long non-coding RNA is filed under the name Salmo salar (Atlantic salmon). RNAcentral describes it as "lncRNA (ENSSSAG00000106903.1)". The record is from RNAcentral. Lineage: Eukaryota; Metazoa; Chordata; Actinopteri; Salmoniformes; Salmonidae.